GGUUAAGCGACUAAGCGUACACGGUGGAUGCCCUGGCAGUCAGAGGCGAUGAAGGACGUGCUAAUCUGCGAAAAGCGUCGGUAAGGUGAUAUGAACCGUUACAGCCGGCGAUGUCCGAAUGGGGAAACCCAGUGCAAUUCGUUGCACUAUCGUUAACUGAAUACAUAGGUUAACGAGGCGAACCGGGGGAACUGAAACAUCUAAGUACCCCGAGGAAAAGAAAUCAACCGAGAUUCCCCCAGUAGCGGCGAGCGAACGGGGAGCAGCCCAGAGUCUGAAUCAGCUUGUGUGUUAGUGGAACGGUCUGGAAAGUCCGACGGUACAGGGUGAUAGUCCCGUACACCAAAAUGCACAGGCUGUGAACUCGAAGAGUAGGGCGGGACACGUGGUAUCCUGUCUGAAUAUGGGGGGACCAUCCUCCAAGGCUAAAUACUCCUGACUGACCGAUAGUGAACCAGUACCGUGAGGGAAAGGCGAAAAGAACCCCGGCGAGGGGAGUGAAAAAGAACCUGAAACCGUGUACGUACAAGCAGUGGGAGCACCUUUAUGGUGUGACUGCGUACCUUUUGUAUAAUGGGUCAGCGACUUAUAUUCUGUAGCAAGGUUAACCGUAUAGGGGAGCCGCAGGGAAACCGAGUCUUAACUGGGCGUUAAGUUGCAGGGUAUAGACCCGAAACCCGGUGAUCUAGCCAUGGGCAGGUUGAAGGUUGGGUAACACUAACUGGAGGACCGAACCGACUAAUGUUGAAAAAUUAGCGGAUGACUUGUGGCUGGGGGUGAAAGGCCAAUCAAACCGGGAGAUAGCUGGUUCUCCCCGAAAGCUAUUUAGGUAGCGCCUCGUGAAUUCAUCUUCGGGGGUAGAGCACUGUUUCGGCUAGGGGGUCAUCCCGACUUACCAACCCGAUGCAAACUACGAAUACCGAAGAAUGUUAUCACGGGAGACACACGGCGGGUGCUAACGUCCGUCGUGAAGAGGGAAACAACCCAGACCGCCAGCUAAGGUCCCAAAGUCAUGGUUAAGUGGGAAACGAUGUGGGAAGGCACAGACAGCCAGGAUGUUGGCUUAGAAGCAGCCAUCAUUUAAAGAAAGCGUAAUAGCUCACUGGUCGAGUCGGCCUGCGCGGAAGAUGUAACGGGGCUAAACCAUGCACCGAAGCUGCGGCAGCGACACUAUGUGUUGUUGGGUAGGGGAGCGUUCUGUAAGCCUGCGAAGGUGACCUGUGAGGGUUGCUGGAGGUAUCAGAAGUGCGAAUGCUGACAUAAGUAACGAUAAAGCGGGUGAAAAGCCCGCUCGCCGGAAGACCAAGGGUUCCUGUCCAACGUUAAUCGGGGCAGGGUGAGUCGACCCCUAAGGCGAGGCCGAAAGGCGUAGUCGAUGGGAAACAGGUUAAUAUUCCUGUACUUGGUGUUACUGCGAAGGGGGGACGGAGAAGGCUAUGUUAGCCGGGCGACGGUUGUCCCGGUUUAAGCAUGUAGGCUGAUUAUCCAGGCAAAUCCGGAUAAUCAAGGCUGAGGUGUGAUGACGAGGCACUACGGUGCUGAAGUAACAAAUGCCCUGCUUCCAGGAAAAGCCUCUAAGCAUCAGGUAACAUCAAAUCGUACCCCAAACCGACACAGGUGGUCAGGUAGAGAAUACCAAGGCGCUUGAGAGAACUCGGGUGAAGGAACUAGGCAAAAUGGUGCCGUAACUUCGGGAGAAGGCACGCUGGUGUGUAGGUGAAGCCCCUGCGGGUGGAGCUGAGACCAGUCGAAGAUACCAGCUGGCUGCAACUGUUUAUUAAAAACACAGCACUGUGCAAACACGAAAGUGGACGUAUACGGUGUGACGCCUGCCCGGUGCCGGAAGGUUAAUUGAUGGGGUUAUCCGUAAGGAGAAGCUCUUGAUCGAAGCCCCGGUAAACGGCGGCCGUAACUAUAACGGUCCUAAGGUAGCGAAAUUCCUUGUCGGGUAAGUUCCGACCUGCACGAAUGGCGUAAUGAUGGCCAGGCUGUCUCCACCCGAGACUCAGUGAAAUUGAACUCGCUGUGAAGAUGCAGUGUACCCGCGGCAAGACGGAAAGACCCCGUGAACCUUUACUAUAGCUUGACACUGAACAUUGAGCCUUGAUGUGUAGGAUAGGUGGGAGGCUUUGAAGCGUGGACGCCAGUCUGCGUGGAGCCAACCUUGAAAUACCACCCUUUAAUGUUUGAUGUUCUAACGUUGGCCCCUUACCGGGGUUGCGGACAGUGUCUGGUGGGUAGUUUGACUGGGGCGGUCUCCUCCCAAAGCGUAACGGAGGAGCACGAAGGUUAGCUAAUCCUGGUCGGACAUCAGGAGGUUAGUGCAAUGGCAUAAGCUAGCUUGACUGCGAGCGUGACGGCGCGAGCAGGUGCGAAAGCAGGUCAUAGUGAUCCGGUGGUUCUGAAUGGAAGGGCCAUCGCUCAACGGAUAAAAGGUACUCCGGGGAUAACAGGCUGAUACCGCCCAAGAGUUCAUAUCGACGGCGGUGUUUGGCACCUCGAUGUCGGCUCAUCACAUCCUGGGGCUGAAGUAGGUCCCAAGGGUAUGGCUGUUCGCCAUUUAAAGUGGUACGCGAGCUGGGUUUAGAACGUCGUGAGACAGUUCGGUCCCUAUCUGCCGUGGGCGCUGGAGAAUUGAGGGGGGCUGCUCCUAGUACGAGAGGACCGGAGUGGACGCAUCACUGGUGUUCGGGUUGUCAUGCCAAUGGCACUGCCCGGUAGCUAAAUGCGGAAGAGAUAAGUGCUGAAAGCAUCUAAGCACGAAACUUGCCCCGAGAUGAGUUCUCCCUGAGACUUUAAGUCUCCUGAAGGAACGUUAAAGACGAUGACGUUGAUAGGCCGGGUGUGUAAGCGCAGCGAUGCGUUGAGCUAACCGGUACUAAUGAACCGUGAGGCUUAACCUU
Molecule: ribosomal RNA, 2903 nt
Filed under: Klebsiella quasipneumoniae
Lineage: Bacteria; Pseudomonadati; Pseudomonadota; Gammaproteobacteria; Enterobacterales; Enterobacteriaceae
Description: 23S ribosomal RNA
Rfam family: Bacterial large subunit ribosomal RNA
Source: RNAcentral